CCCUUCUUUUGGAGUAUUCAGGAAGCUGUGUUCUUUGGGUUAGAUUGUUGGGACUCCUGUGUUACUAUGAGCUUGGAUGAACGCUUUCUAGCAGUCUGUGACCUUACAAUGAUGGCCUAGGAACAAAAUUAAGAUCUUGGAUGAAAUGUCAUAAGAGCCACCAAAAAUGUCUCAAGAUCUUCUUCGAAGCAGGUCAUCUUGAGACAAGCAGAACCACGACAAACAAUUUAAAUGGAAGCCUUUAAGCAUCUGGAGAAGACUUUCUGUGACACAUCCCAGACCCUGGGAUUUCUUAUGACAAAGAUCAGCAGCAGUCAUAUGUGGUGGGCGACUGCAAGAUGCCCCCUUGGGAUGUGAUAUGCAGCAGGACCUCCCCAGCUGUGUCAUUGAUGUGUGGCACAUGCUUUAGGGGCGUAGGACGAGGCACAUAGGAUAUAUA
This is a long non-coding RNA of Lagopus muta (rock ptarmigan), 439 nucleotides long. RefSeq lists it as uncharacterized. The transcript has 3 exons. The record is from RefSeq and is a predicted model, not a curated record. Lineage: Eukaryota; Metazoa; Chordata; Aves; Galliformes; Phasianidae.